Molecule: ribosomal RNA, 395 nt
Filed under: uncultured bacterium
Lineage: Bacteria
Description: bacterial SSU rRNA
Rfam family: Bacterial small subunit ribosomal RNA
Source: RNAcentral
GUGUCAGCAGCCGCGGUAAGACGGAGGGUGCAAGCGUUGUUCGGAAUUACUGGGCGUAAAGCGCGGGCAGGUGGUUCUUUAAGUCCUUUGUGAAAUUCCGGGGCUCAACCCCGGAUGUGCAGAGGAUACUGGAGAACUGGAGACUGGUAGAGGCGAGCGGAAUUCCUGGUGUAGCGGUGGAAUGCGUAGAUAUCAGGAAGAACACCGGUGGCGAAGGCGGCUCGCUGGGCCAGUUCUGACACUCAUCCGCGAAAGCGUGGGGAGCAAACAGGAUUAGAUACCCUGGUAGUCCACGCCGUAAACGAUGGGCACUAGAUGCCGGGCCUAUAGACGGGUUCGGUGUCGCAGCUAACGCAUUAAGUGCCCCGCCUGGGGAGUACGGUCGCAAGACUGAA